AUGAACGCUGGCGGCGUGCUUAACACCUGCAAGUCGAACGAUGAAGCCCAGCUUGCUGGGUGGAUUAGUGGCGAACGGGUGAGUAACACGUGAGUAACCUGCCCUUAACUCUGGGAUAAGCCUGGGAAACUGGGUCUAAUACCGGAUAGGAGCGUCCACCGCAUGGUGGGUGUUGGAAAGAUUUAUCGGUUUUGGAUGGACUCGCGGCCUAUCAGCUUGUUGGUGAGGUAAUGGCUCACCAAGGCGACGACGGGUAGCCGGCCUGAGAGGGUGACCGGCCACACUGGGACUGAGACACGGCCCAGACUCCUACGGGAGGCAGCAGUGGGGAAUAUUGCACAAUGGGCGCAAGCCUGAUGCAGCGACGCCGCGUGAGGGAUGACGGCCUUCGGGUUGUAAACCUCUUUCAGUAGGGAAGAAGCGAAAGUGACGGUACCUGCAGAAGAAGCACCGGCUAACUACGUG
RNAcentral lists this ribosomal RNA (465 nucleotides) under uncultured bacterium. RNAcentral describes it as "partial 16S ribosomal RNA". It matches the Rfam family "Bacterial small subunit ribosomal RNA", at positions 29 to 507 of the family's 1533-position model. The record is from RNAcentral.